AGAGUUUGAUCCUGGCUCAGAUUGAACGCUGGCGGCAUGCCUUACACAUGCAAGUCGAACGGCAGCACGGGGGCAACCCUGGUGGCGAGUGGCGAACGGGUGAGUAAUAUAUCGGAACGUGCCCUGGAGUGGGGGAUAACUAGUCGAAAGAUUAGCUAAUACCGCAUACGAUCUACGGAUGAAAGUGGGGGACCCGCAAGGGCCUCAUGCUCCUGGAGCGGCCGAUAUCUGAUUAGCUAGUUGGUGAGGUAAAGGCUCACCAAGGCAUCGAUCAGUAGCUGGUCUGAGAGGACGACCAGCCACACUGGGACUGAGACACGGCCCAGACUCCUACGGGAGGCAGCAGUGGGGAUUUUGGACAUGGGCGCAAGCCUGA
This 376-nucleotide ribosomal RNA is filed under the name uncultured Glaciimonas sp. RNAcentral describes it as "bacterial SSU rRNA". It matches the Rfam family "Bacterial small subunit ribosomal RNA", at positions 8 to 386 of the family's 1533-position model. Lineage: Bacteria; Pseudomonadati; Pseudomonadota; Betaproteobacteria; Burkholderiales; Oxalobacteraceae. The record is from RNAcentral.